CAGUCGCCACGGUAAUACGAAGGGGGCUAGCGUUGUUCGGAUUUACUGGGCGUAAAGCGCACGUAGGCGGAUUCUUAAGUCAGAGGUGAAAUCCCAAGGCUCAACCUUGGAACUGCCUUUGAUACUGGGGAUCUUGAGUUCGGGAGAGGUGAGUGGAACUGCGAGUGUAGAGGUGAAAUUCGUAGAUAUUCGCAAGAACACCAGUGGCGAAGGCGGCUCACUGGCCCGAUACUGACGCUGAGGUGCGAAAGCGUGGGGAGCAAACAGGAUUAGAUACCCCAGUAGUCCCUGUCUCUUAUAC
Molecule: ribosomal RNA, 301 nt
Filed under: uncultured bacterium
Lineage: Bacteria
Description: partial 16S ribosomal RNA
Rfam family: Bacterial small subunit ribosomal RNA
Source: RNAcentral